AGCAUGUACAGAAAGGAGGUGAGAAGGGCUGGCUUAUGUACAGCAAUGUGCUAUCUGCAAGAAAAUACUUGCUGGUUUUUAAAGUACUACUCCUCAAAAACGACUGUCCCACUUGGUUUAGUAUCACCAGCCAUAUUUAAUUGGUAUUGAGACCAAGCUGUCCACAGUAGUCCAGGCAUGGAAAAACCAAGGUCCUGUGUAUUUGCAGCAAGCCUUCCUUGCUCUCAUACCCUCACCCUCUUAUAAUGAAGAAGAAAUCGAAUUGCAUUCUAGAAACAGUGAGGAGGGAAAGAAGGAAAUGAUUUUCCAGAUGCGUUUAUCCCAUUGUUAUCUGCAACCCUAUAAUCAAACUUUGUUGUUGAUAUACCUUGACUGUAACAAACUGAUUCAGAAAUUCUUGUGGCCAUUAGACUCCGAGCUUACUUUUGCAGUCUGAAUUAUUUUUUUGAAAAUUGAGCAAAAACACUGCAAGGGAAAAGGUUGCUGAUUAACUUAAUGAAAAGUUACCUAUAACAGCUGACUCCAGGAGUUGAUUUGUUUGAAAUUGUGUAAUAUUUUAAAAAUUUAGAGUUGUUUGUUUUCUGAAAGAUGUUGCAAAUGCCACAUCCUAUUUGGUGAAUGCGAACUGCUUUGCUUAAAUUAAAAUUCCCAUGCUGUAUCCAUUUGCAAAGAAACUCUUACAGUGCUGCUUCUGCCAGGAAGUUUGGGAUACCCUGGAUCAUGUACCUUUCCAUAUUUGGGACUAGUAUUGCUUAGUAGAAACCAAUAAAGUUUUCAU
Rhincodon typus (whale shark) is the source of this 778-nucleotide long non-coding RNA. RefSeq lists it as uncharacterized. The record is from RefSeq and is a predicted model, not a curated record. NCBI's taxonomy places the organism in Eukaryota, Metazoa, Chordata, Chondrichthyes, Orectolobiformes, Rhincodontidae. The transcript is spliced from 4 exons.